RNAcentral lists this ribosomal RNA (459 nucleotides) under uncultured bacterium. RNAcentral's name for it is "partial 16S ribosomal RNA". It matches the Rfam family "Bacterial small subunit ribosomal RNA", at positions 338 to 795 of the family's 1533-position model. The record is from RNAcentral.
CCUACGGGAGGCAGCAGUGAGGAAUAUUGGUCAAUGGUCGGGAGACUGAACCAGCCAAGCCGCGUGAGGGAUGAAGGUACAGAGUAUCGUAAACCUCUUUUGUCAGGGAACAAAGUCGGGGCCGUGUCCCCGGCUGAGUGUCCCUGCAGAUAAAGCACCGGCUAACUCCGUGCCAGCAGCCGCGGUAAUACGGAGGUUGCGAGCGUUAUCCGGUUUUAUUGGGUUUAAAGGGUGCGCGGGCGGUCUGUUAAGUCAGCGGUCAAAGCCCGGGGCACAGCCCCGGCCCGCCGUUGAAACUGGCAGGCUCGAUUGGGAGAGAAGUAGGCGGAAUGCGCGGUGUAGCGGUGAAAUGCAUAGAUAUCGCGCAGAACUCCGAUUGCGAAGGCAGCAUGCCGGGUCCACACUGACGCUGAGGCACGAAAGCGUGGGUAUCGAACAGGAUUAGAUACCCUAGUAGUC